Molecule: long non-coding RNA, 1728 nt
Organism: Dalotia coriaria
Lineage: Eukaryota; Metazoa; Arthropoda; Insecta; Coleoptera; Staphylinidae
Exons: 8
Source: RefSeq, a predicted model, not a curated record
CGAUAAAGUUGUGUAAAAGUGUUCUGUGAUUUUGCGAUGCGAUGCGCCGCGAUAGACUUACCAACUUCCCUGAAGGUCGGCAGCUGUUGCCAACAGGUGAUCAAAGAGCAGGAGCCUGAAACGCCGUGACACUUGCAGCCAUGAUCCAUUCGGAGUCGAUCGUCGCGCCGCUUCGGCCAAACCGGAAACAAUCAAAAUGGCGAACGCACGCUUCAAGAUUAGGGCUCCAGGAAUUGAACGGCACUUUACAGCAGAAUAAUCCUUACUUCAAAUUGGAGAUGAGUGUCUGGCAAUAAUUUAAGUUUGCCUUUGAAUUAGUGACAAAAAUUACAUUUUUGUGUCGCAAAGGCUCACUUUUUGCUUGUUUUAGGUGUUCGACAUCCGAGCCCGACAUCAUAGGAGAACCAUUCUUGCAUCAGAUUAGAUAUUGCACCUGAAUCUGACAUCGUAGAAUGAUCAUUCUUACAUCAGAUGAGAUAUUGCACCUGAAUCUGACAUCGUAGAAGGACCAUUCUUACAUCAGAUUGGAUAUUGCACCUGAGUCUGACAUCGUAGAAUGAUCAUUCUUACAUCAGAUUAGAUAUUGCACCUGAAUCUGACAUCGUAGAAGGACCAUUCUUGCAUCAGAUUGUAAGAAAUUAAUUUCUUUAUCAUUUUCAUAUGUAACUUAUAUGAAUCACUUAUGAAUUAGCGAGAAAAAUUAACUUUUUGUGUUUCGACGCACUGAUUUUGCUGGUUUUCGGGGAUUAGCACAUGAACGCGUCAUCCGCGUAAUAUCAGCGAGGUCCCUAAAGAUGUAAAAUUCAAUUCUUCAUGGCGUUAUAUUCUAAUGUCGUAGGAGAUGUACCUGUAGAACGGUAUUGUUAGAUAAAUUGUACGUUUCGUACGUUGUUAUGUCGAUAACUUGUAACUGUUUACAUUUAGUCAUUUUGAAUAGUUUUUGGCUUAUAUAUAACAUGGAUUGUGCUUUAUUAAUUUUCGUUCAAGUGACUGAGAUAGAAAUACCAGGAUGAUGUGAUAGCAGGUGAGCUAGAAUAAGAGAGCAAUACUCUAAGUUUCAUGUUCAAUCCAUGUUUUUUAUAUGAUCUGCAGAAUUUUCUACAAUUUGUUUUUACUUUUCGUUCGACCUUGGCUUGCGCAGCACGCCGUGCGCUGCCAUUUGAAAUUUGACCAGUACCGCACUGGUCACCGUGCGUCGUCGGGUUCAAGUGACAAUUUGCUAUACUGCUCAGUACAUCUUGCGCUGACGUAUUGGCUGUUAUUUUUUCCUGUUUAGUCAGUGGCACGGAAUUGUGCUGUGCGCGCGUGUUCUCUUUCUUCUCCGCCCUUGUUCGUCGCGAUUUCGGGCGAUUUUAAUAAGGUGCAAGCCUUAUAAUUGUUUAGUCAUCAAUUGCUAUCAACUACUGGACAAGUGAUUUAUCUCGAAUCGACUCGAUACUUGCGCGUGUGUUAGCCAUCAUCCGCCGGCCGUCGGAUCUCUUACGUUGGGCGUACGGAUUCCAAUUGCAUUUAUAGGCCAAAAUGGUAUUGUUAAUUGCAAAAGCAAUUCAGUGAGUAGUAACAUCAAUUCUACUAACAAUUCUACUUUGUGUGUAACUUUUGAUACGAGAGCGUUGUGGCUUGAUGAUACGUAGGAAAAUGGCUUGAAUCGUACGUACGUUCGUUUUAUUUAAAAAAAUGAAGAAUGUAUUGCUAAAUACAAUUAAUAAAAAUCAAUUUAAAAUGAAA